Long non-coding RNA from Cygnus olor (mute swan), 3303 nucleotides. RefSeq lists it as uncharacterized. NCBI's taxonomy places the organism in Eukaryota, Metazoa, Chordata, Aves, Anseriformes, Anatidae. The record is from RefSeq and is a predicted model, not a curated record. The transcript has 2 exons.
UUUCAUUCCUUUUAAACCGAGUUUUCCUUCAAUUCUAUUGGUAAUUUUUUCCAGUUUUCUUUCGGUUUCCUAAAAAAGAACCCUUAGUUUUGUACAUAGUAUUCCCCUCCUUUUACUUUAAAUCAUUUUUCUAGUUUGUAUUUCUUUGCCUUCAAGAACACCAUUGUUUUCACUUGUCUUUAAAAAACCUCCAAGUGUCUUCCUCCCUCUCUUAAAGCUUUUAUUCUCUUCCACGACUCAUCCCAACUCUGACUUAAUUUGUUACAUAUUUCCUCCUAGAGGUCCUACCUCCCAUUUAACCCCUGCAAAAUUGAGCUUUUAAAAUUGUUUCUCCUUUCAUUGUCCUCACUGUGCAUAGUCUGUUACAGCUAGCGUCUGCCUCCUGGGCUCAAAUUGUGAAGAUCAUUCUCUACACCUAUUUUUUGGCUGUCCUCUUACAACUCUUCCCUUUCACAUUUAAAUUAUUUUUCCUUUUGGCUUUCUCAGAGAUGAGGUUGGUUGUCCAGAAACUUACUAUGUUAUGGAAGUGUUAUAUCGCAAACUAUUUUUUUCUGUUUCUGCUUUGUCUCUUCACGCUGCUUGCUCUGCUUAGAAUGCCUUCUGUGCUCCUGUGCCUUUUUUCAAACACACAAAUUCCAAUACGUUUAGUGAUUGUUUUCCUCAAACUCUCUCCAUCUGUCUCCACUCCUCCACUUUUCACUUUUGUUAUACUGGGAACUCUUAAACAAACAUUCACUUAUAAAACAAACUAAAUUUAUGCUACUAAACCAUUUGUCAUUGUAUUGUUACCAAAUGAUAAGUAAUUCCUAACUUUGCUCCAUCCAGCUCAAGGACUGAGGAUAAAAAAUAAUUUAAUGUUCUUUGGUUUUAAGUAAACUGUUGGGGAGUCUGUGAGAACAGGGAGUGUUAACACUCCAGAAUAAAUUGUUUUGCCUCUCUAAAAUGGUGAUUGCCCCCUUCAUACUAGGUGUGAUUAAAAGUGCUAGAAAAGUGCCACCUAGUACAAGUAAAACAAACAUAUCUCCAAUUUUUCUAAAUCCCAAUAUAACUGAAUGCAGAACUUGAACUUUCAGGUCAGCAAUACAACACUAACGUCAGCUAAGUUCCAGCACCUACAAUGAAGAUGGGCAGGGUGCAGGAAUGCUGGUGAAGCAAAAACAAGAAGACGUCCUUUUUUUGCCUCUGUGCAGGCCUGAGGGAACAAGAAGGAUGCUAACCACAGGUCGUCUCGAGUUCACUACACCUUGCAUUAAAGAGGAACGCAGAGCUGGCUGGGGCUGUUCCUCCUCGCACAGCCUCAGACCUCCCGGUGGCAGCAGCAGUUUCCUGGGGUUUUUGGCUGUCCCACAUCUGGAAGUGAGUGGUGCAACACCCAGGAACACAAGUAAGUCAUUUCUUUUUUUACACUGGUGUUUUGCAAUUGGUCCAGUUGAUAACUCCUGCUAGUGGAAGGAGACGAGAAAAUUCAGGCCAGCAAAUCAUACAAGUGGACACUUAUGACCCUAAAAUGGAAGCUUUUGCUAACUCUGUAGGGAAAAGUGAUAUGAGGCAUAUUUCCAGAAAAGCACUGGGGCUGCAGUAUAUACUGUUUGAAGAGACUUGCUAUUAUUUUUUGUAUUUUGGAGAACUAAUACUUUGGAUGUAAGUAACUACUCUCAGAUUGUCACAAAAAUUGUCACAAAAUCUCUUAGCCUAUACUUAAUUUAGGGAUCUCAAUUUUAUAGCUAGAUUUUCUACUUUUACCUAAAGGUUGCCCCUUCAUCAACGAAUACACACUAGCUGGAAAUUACUUUUGUAUUCAAAAGAUAAAGCAAAUUUUCUUGAAUAUUUAUGAAAAAAGGUACCUAAACUUUUAGAAAUAUUAGAAAAAAUUAGAAAGAGAGAAGCCUAAUCUACUAAAACGUGGCAUUUUUCAAGAGGUUGUUCUCCACCCUCUAUAUGGACACCUAAAACAAAAGCAAUGCAACGUUUACUAAACAGUCUUUGUACAUCUAUCCUGUUGAUGUUAGGUGUCUGCUCUUGUUAGUACAACAAACCUCACCUAAGUGCAAAGGGGAUAACCAACUGCAAACUGUUAAGGGAAAACCUCUCCUGCUGAAAGAGCACCACAUCAUUAUCUUCUGCAUGAUUUAAGUUUGUAUGAUGAGGUUGUCAUAUGUUGGUGUCCUGUAAAAUAAAAUAUAUGGGACUUAACUCCUAUACAAACUCAUUUAGUUAGACAUAUCAGUUAAUGGAGAAAAUAAACCUGCAUGUAAAACGAUGCAUUUUAUUGAAUCAACCAUGUUUUCCAAAGGCAGCUUGCCCUUUCUUGGUAAAUUUGUUUCAAAUUGCAUACUGAACUCAUUUGAGAAUUAAGUUAUUCUUGCUAACCUCAGUAUGGCUAUAAUUAAGAGUAACAGUUCCUUACUUUCAAUUUCCCAACUACUCGCCUGUCAAAUUUAUCUAACAAACAGUUGUUUGCUACAGAAUUGCAAACGGCCAUAAAUUAUUGAAGUGGAAGAUUUACAUAAUACUGUUUGUUUCUAACGAAUUAAAUUCCACACUGAGGUCAAGUAAGGCAGUACAGUGCAUGCAGACUUAACAGUGGUAAGCAUCGUACCAACCAGGAUAACAUGGCAUUUUUAAUAAUCUUUCCCUAAAACUGUCUACAGAGUUAGAAACAAAUUCUGUCUGCAGUUAAACCAAUCUCAAAAAGGUAUUUGAAGAGGCCGCAAACUAUAUUCUCCAUAUUUCUUGAAAGAUCUAAUUUAUCAUCUGUUUUAUAAUCCCUUUCAGUUCACCUCUGAUGAGUAUCCCAUUUCCUAGAGAGACAAUUUGCCACUUAAUACACUGAAUGUUAAAGAACUACAAAUGCUUUCUACUGAUUUGUGUAGCUUACCUACCGCCGAUGGUAGUAUUUUACUGCAGUUGAAUCAUAAUUGACCUCUCAAGUUAAGUUGUAGGUAAGUGCAAAUGAGAUCAAUUUCCCCAAGUAAAUCAGUUUUAUAUACAUGGUCUGACUUAGAGGCCACCUCAUUCACUAAAAAUCCAUAAAUAAUGCUUAAAUUAUAUACCAUAUUAUAGAAGUGGGUCUUUAUUCUUCCCACAAAUAAAUUAUAAAAAAAAAAAAGUUAACAACGUAUAAAAAGUAAUGCCCUAACAAAACUAUAGUGCUGUUAUCAUUCCAUAUUGUCUUUGGAUUGCUGCAGUAAAAUACGUAUUUCUUCAAAAUACUGCUUCUUCCAACAUUGUCUUGCACUAUCUUCAUUAGAGACAGGAACGCCUUUACACUCUAACUGCAGUUCUGUUUCAGCAGCCAUAUCG